This 301-nucleotide ribosomal RNA is filed under the name uncultured bacterium. RNAcentral's name for it is "partial 16S ribosomal RNA". It matches the Rfam family "Bacterial small subunit ribosomal RNA", at positions 509 to 807 of the family's 1533-position model. The record is from RNAcentral.
CAGCCGCCACGGGAAUACGUAGGGUGCAAGCGUUAAUCGGAAUUACUGGGCGUAAAGCGUGCGCAGGCGGUUUGUUAAGACAGAUGUGAAAUCCCCGGGCUCAACCUGGGAAUUGCAUUUGUGACUGGCAAGCUAGAGUAUGGCAGAGGGGGGUGGAAUUCCGCGUGUAGCAGUGAAAUGCGUAGAUAUGCGGUGGAACACCGAUGGCGAAGGCAGCCCCCUGGGCCAAUACUGACGCUCAUGCACGAAAGCGUGGGGAGCAAACAGGAUUAGAUACCCGCGUAGUCCCUGUCUCUUAUAC